CCUACGGGAGGCAGCAGUGGGGAAUUUUGGACAAUGGGCGAAAGCCUGAUCCAGCAAUGCCGCGUGAGUGAAGAAGGCCUUCGGGUUGUAAAGCUCUUUUGUCAGGGAAGAAACGGUGUGGGCUAAUAUCCUGCACUAAUGACGGUACCUGAAGAAUAAGCACCGGCUAACUACGUGCCAGCAGCCGCGGUAAUACGUAGGGUGCAAGCGUUAAUCGGAAUUACUGGGCGUAAAGCGUGCGCAGGCGGUUUUGUAAGUCUGUCGUGAAAUCCCCGGGCUCAACCUGGGAAUUGCGAUGGAGACUGCAAGGCUAGAAUCUGGCAGAGGGGGGUAGAAUUCCACGUGUAGCAGUGAAAUGCGUAGAGAUGUGGAGGAACACCGAUGGCGAAGGCAGCCCCCUGGGUCAAGAUUGACGCUCAUGCACGAAAGCGUGGGGAGCAAACAGGAUUAGAUACCCUGGUAGUCCACGCCCUAAACGAUGUCUACUAGUUGUCGGGUUUUAAUUAACUUGGUAACGCAGCUAACGCGUGAAGUAGACCGCCUGGGGAGUACGGUCGCAAGAUUAAAACUUAAAGGAAUUGACGG
Molecule: ribosomal RNA, 585 nt
Filed under: uncultured bacterium
Lineage: Bacteria
Description: bacterial SSU rRNA
Rfam family: Bacterial small subunit ribosomal RNA
Source: RNAcentral